Callithrix jacchus (white-tufted-ear marmoset) is the source of this 9066-nucleotide long non-coding RNA. RefSeq lists it as uncharacterized. The record is from RefSeq and is a predicted model, not a curated record. Lineage: Eukaryota; Metazoa; Chordata; Mammalia; Primates; Cebidae.
CUCUCUCUUCUCUCUCUCUCUCUCUCUCUCGUGAGAUGGAGUCUCGCUCUUGUUGUUUAAGCUGGAGUGCAAUUGUGUGAUCUUGGCUCACUGCAACCUCUACCUCCCAGGUUCAAGCCAUUCUCCUGCCUCAGACUCCUGAGUAGCUGGGAUUACAGGCUCCUGCCAUCAUGCCCAGUGAAUUUUUUGUAUUAGCUGGGCUAAAAUAAAAAAAAUUUUUAGUAGAGGUGGGCUUUCAUCUCAAUCUCUUGACUUCAUGAUCCACCCGCCUCGGCCUCUCAAAGUGCUGGGGUUACAGGUGUAAGCCAUCGUGGCCAGCCAGGUAUCUCUUGUUUCUACUGUUCUUUCACAAACUGUAUCUGUUCUUACAGUUUCAACCAUCAUCUCUGCACCAUUUCUAGUGCUGGCCUCCCUGCCCACUCUAGCCUUGCAUUUCCUGGUGGCUAUGAAUCUUCCAUAGCUGCAUGGAUCACCAGCCCCUGAAACUCAAAUUGUGUGCAGUUAGACCCUUCAGAUCCUCCUCCCAGAAAUCAGGUCUUCCUCCCGACUCAUUUCUGCUCUUUAAGUUAUCCAAGCUUAAAACUUGACAGCAGUCACCUAUUCCUUUUUUUUUUUUUUUUGACUCAUCUUUAACUCAUGUCCAAGCUCUGUUGAGUAUUUCUUUGUGAUAUCUGACACCUAUACCUUCCCAGUCCUAUAACCACCAUCCUACUCAAGAGUUGUUAUUUCCUGUUAUAGAAACAACAGCCUCUUACCUGGUCUCCUCUUUCUGGUAGCUCUCCUGGGUCAGCCUAUUUUGGUAUAGUUUCUAAAAACUAUUCUGAUUAUAUAGGGUCAUGUAUAAGGUAAUAUUGAGCAUAGUCAAAAUUACCCUUAAAAAUCUCUUAAGGAAACCUGGGUAUGGUGGCUCAUGCCUGUAAUCCCAGCACUUGGGGAGGCUGGGGUGGGUGGAUCACUUGAGGUCAGGAUUUCAAGACCAGCCUGGCCAACAUGGUGAAACCCUGUCUCUACUAAAAAUACAAAAAUAUGCCAGGUGGUGGCACAUACCUGUAAUCCCGGCUACUUGGAAGGCUGAGGCAGAAGAAUCACUUGAACCUGGGAGGCAGAGGCUGCAGUGAGCUGAUAUUGUGCCAUUGCAUUCCAGCCUGGACAACAGAGUGAGACUCUAUCUCAAAAAAACAGAAAAUCUCUUAGGAAGAUGUUAUUGUUAUAGUAAAAUCUAACAAACUGUUUCCAGAAAUCCCACAACAACAAAACUCAUUUCUUAGCUGAGCACAGUGGCAUGCACCUGUAGUCCAAGCUGCUCAGGAGGCUAGGGUGGGAGGAUUGCUUCAGGCCAAGAGUUCCAGGCUGUAGUGCCCUGUAUUUGGACCUGUGAAUAGCCACUGUACUCUAGCAUGGACAACAUAGCAAGGCCCCAUCUCUAAGAAAAAACAAAAAGCCACAUUUCUUGUCUUCAGCAGGGGAAUAAAUUGUGCUUUCUUCUGUUAAGUACCAGCUAAUGAAAUUGACUUACAUUUAGAAGGCAUUUUUGGAAAAAAGAUGUAUUUUUAACACUCCCUCGAUGCAAGGCAAAUAAGAGUGGAAACUGACUAAGAGACUAACAGCAGAUUUGUAUGUCUUUGCCCAUGCUCAUUUCAGGCAUGAGCUUAUGGAAAGUUCUUCUGCUCCUCUCCUUUAAAAAACAAUUAUCAGGCCAGGCAUGGUGGCUUAUACCUGUAAUCCCAGCAUUUUAGGAGGCUGAGGCAGGUGAAUCACCUGUGGUCAGGAGUUCGAGGCCAGCCUGGCCAACAUAGUGAAACCCCGUCUGUACUAAAAAUACAAAAAUUAGCUAGAUGUGGUGUCAGGCACCUGUAAUCCCAGCUACUCAGGAGGCUGAGGCAGGAGAAUCGCUUGAAUCAGGGAGACAGAAGUUGCAGUGAGCCGAGAUUGGCCACUGCACUCUAGCAUGGGUGACAGAGCAAGACUUCGUCUCAAAAAACAAACAAAAAAUAAUCAUUAUUAUUAUGUUUGUUUUUGCUGAACGUAUAUAAUCCAAUGGGUGGAAUUAAGCCAGAUACAACAGCAUUUCUCUGGUGGGUCAGCUCUUUGGGUCGAAGGGUCCACACGUCCAUACCGAGGCCUUUCCCAGUGCCAGUCAGGGCUGGAUGGGCAGAGAAGGAAUCUGGGGCCUGUCCUCCUGAAUCCUCAAUUCAGCUGAAAGUCCAAGGUUUUAGAAGCUUCUCAAUUCAAUUCAGGACAUCCAGCUCUCUGUGAAGGUGUAUUUUUCAAGUCAAGAGGAUAUAAUAUAUAACUUUUUAACCAAGUUGUUACCUUAGUAACUUCUAGAUACUUAGACACAGGGUAUAGGACCAUUUGUUUGUAGUCUUGCUUUGGUCCUACACAGAAUACAUGGCAUGUUUUCCUGAAUUGGAGAGAUAAGCAGCAGUGGGGGCUUUCCCACAUGCCCGCACAGUGCAAAUGAUUUCAAAUUGUUGGGAAGGCCUGUAGCCAUUCUGUCUCUCUCCAAGUCUCCCAGGCUCCUGCCGUCUCCCUCUCCCAGGCAGUCUCAUACUAAACUACAAGUAAAUCCCAAAUACUUCUUGCUUUCUGAGUAGAGAAUUCAGAUGUCAGCAUGGCACCUGUUUUCUAGACCCUGCUACCUAAAGUGUGGAUCACAGGUGGAAAUGCAGCCUCUUAACUGCCUGUGAAGCUGCAUUUUCUAUUUUUUGAUCCCUAAGGAACAUAGUGGGGAAAUGCUGUCAGAGAAGCAGUGGAUGCUAUAGGAAAAUGUGAGACAGGGCAGGUGAAGAGAGGAGUAAAGACUGGGCCUUGAAGAAGAAUAAGAAAAUGGAAAAGAAAUGGUGAGAAAAGCCAAGUCAAAUUCAGGAUGACAAUGAACACCUAAAAGAAGAGUUUUCUCCAGGGGACCAGAACCACUAUAGCCUCCUGUCUCAUUCAGCAGAGUGGCUGAGGAGGGUGAGAACCAGAGGAAGACCCUACCUAGACUUGGCAACCAGGAGGCAGAGUGGAACAUGGAGCCAAGCAGCCCCAGAGAGGCAGAAGGAGAGAACACAGCCAAGCAGCCCUGGGCAGAGAGAAAGAACAAGCCUGGAGGUGGAGGGGUAGCUCUGGUCUCUUCCAAGACACAAAGACCUGAUCCUCCUAGAAUAGCUGAAUGCCACACCAUACCCCUCUGCAUCAGGCUGCAUUGUCCACUGCUGGCUUCUGUCCUGCUGGGCCAUGUCUCUGAACCUUCAGAGGUGCCCCCAGCUAAGCCACAGGAAGCCCCCAGAGGGCCUUCCUCCCUUCUCAGCCUUCCUGUCUAAGUAAGAACAUGAUCACAUUUGGAGGAAGAUAGGACAAACUCCAGGGCAAGGGGUAGGUGCCACCUGAGGGCCUGUCUGGUGCCAUCUCCUUUGCCUGAGGUGCUGAGACCACAAGAAUCCUGGGGCCAUAGCUGCUCUCAGGGAAAGCCUGGUCACUUCCAACCCAGCAUUCUUGGAACCCAGCCUCUUUUACUGUAGUCGCCUGAUGGGUUUGUCUUGCAGGAUGCACAGAUAAAGCCAAUUUACCAAGACAGCAGUAUUGUAAUAGAGAAAUAGUUGAAUAAAUGGAGCCAGCUAAGCACAAGACUGGGGUUUAUUACUCAAAUCAGUCUCCCCUGAAAUUGAGAGACUGUUUUUUAAAGAAUGAUUUGGUGGGCAGGGGACUAGGUAAUGGGUGCUACAACUUGACUGGGGAUGAAAUCACAGGGAAAGUGAUCUUCAUGCCCCUCCAGGUGGAGGCCACAGGACCCAGCGGGGUCAAUCAGUUGUCAGAAAUGCAAAAGUCAGAAAAACACCUUUAAAAAAAUCUUAGGUUCUACAGUAAUGAUGUUAUCUACAGGAGUAAUUGGGGACAUUACAAAUCUUUUGACCUCCAGAACAGUAGCUGGUUCCAAUUAACUCACUCAUGAUCCUAACCUUGUGGACUUUCAUUAGUCUCACAAAGGCAGUUUAGUUUUGGGGAGGGUUAUUAUCAUCCUUGCUUUAAGGUGAAACCAUGAACUAAAGUCCUUUCAAAGUUAGCUUAGUCUAUACCCAGGAAUAAACAAGAAAGGCUUGGAGGUUAGAAGCAAAAUAGAGUUAGCUAUGUUAGGUUUCUCUUACUGUCGUCAUUUUGCAAAGGUGGAUUCAUUGUCUCCAGGCACUCAUCUCUGCUCUCCACUCCCUCCCUGUUGCUUGGGCUGCCGGGUUCUCACCCUCCCACUCUCAGCCUCCCUUCCCACUAUUUCCCUGGACUGCUUGCUCCUUCUCCGCACAGAGCUUGCUUCAAAUCUAAAUAAAGAAACUUAACCUAAAUAAAAAAUUCCUGCAGUGGAAUUUGACAUAUGUCCCAUUUGACAUAUGUAGAAACUGAGGCAUAGAAGGCAGUUUGUUGGCAUCACACUCCAGGAACACUGGUGCUGGGGUUUGAAUUCCGGUGACUGGGCUCCACAGUUCCCCCCUCCCCGCCUCUGUGAAGAGACAAUUUCCUCCUCAGCCUGAGAUCUCCUCCACCAUAUUUAGGCACAAGUCUUCACAGCUGGGAAUCAUUUGCCCAGAGAAGGGAAGGUACAGAGGUACCCAGAAGAACAGAGGUCAGCUGCCCUUUUCAACAUGUUUCUAAACUCAGACACGGCAGUGAAGUGGCCAGCCAGGAUACUUUGGACUUAUAUGUGCUUGGCUCUGUGCCUGUAGGAGAAAGAGAGGUGGUUUCGCUUUGGGGUUUUUGAGUUUCACAGACUUAGCUGUGACCAUCGUGAAGCAAACAGGAGAGUCAGAAGAUAGCGUGGUGAGAUAAAGCCAGUUCUCCACCCCAAAAGGAGUGGAGCAAGGGAAGCAGACGAGGAAGCAACUGAGGCAGCAUCUGAUGCAACGUGGACCCUCCAGGUCCCUGCCACUCCACCUUCCCCACCCACAUGUCCUCUUCCGUGAGUGCCCUGUCCCAGUGGUUGGAGUGACCCCUGGCCCCAUGCUGUCUCUUCUCAGGGCUGGGAGACUCUGCUGCCUCUUUCUUACCACGCUUCCCCUAUCUGUGCACCAGGUGAACCUCCUUAUCCUUUACCCUUUGUUCCUUUCCUCCUGGAAGAAAGUGAUGCAUUUCCUCUGUGAAGCCCACUGUGCCCUCUGCUUAUUUCCAAUGUAGCCUUUAUCUGCCUUGUUAGAUAAUCAUCCUACCCAGGACAGAGACAACGUCUUUCUAUCCUUGGAGCCCCUGACACCUCGUGGACCCUCGUGUUGAAGUGAUGUGGAAGGAAGGGCUGGGAAGAGAAGGACGUGGUCCUUUUAAAUAGUAUGGAAGAGGGAAAGGGAAGUGCUGGGUAGAGGGGGCCCUCUGGUUACGGCUCCACCCCCAACCCGUGCCCACAGACCUAGGUGAAGACAGGGAUUUUUGUUCUCCUACACAAAUGUUGCUUUUCCCAAGACCACCCUGGCCUGCCAUGUCCCCUUCCUGUGCCUAUAAAAACCCCAAGACCCUAGCAGGCAAACACACAGGCAGCUGGAUGUCAAGAGCACAUUGAUAGGCACCACAGGCCCACAGGGCACCCACCAGCAGAAAGACUUGGAGUUUUAGCUCGGGUGGUCAGAGAGGAGUUGGCUGCUGAGCAGCUCGACUCCAGGGGAAAAUCUUCCCACUCAAUCCCCUUCUGGCUUCUCCCAUCUGCUGAGAGCUACUUCCACUCAAUAAAACCUUGAACUCAUUCUCCAAGUGCAGGUGUGAUCUGAUUCUUCUGGCACACCAAGGCAAGAACCCCAGGAUACAGAAAGCCCUCUGUCCUUGCAAUAAGACAGGGGUUCCAUUGAGCUGACUAACACAAGCCGCCUACUGACGGUGAAACUAAAAGAGCAUCCUGUAACACAUACCCACUGGGGCUUCAGCUAUACACAUUCACCCCUGGAUACUGCCGUGGGGUCAGAGCCCACCAGCCUGCCCAUCUGUGUGCUCCCCUCAAGGUUUGAGCAAUGAGCCACAUCCCAUUGCAUGCCCUGUGAGGGACAGGGGAACGUUUCCUGUUUCAGAGACACCUGCUAAUGCCUUUUUUUUUUUUUGAGUCUCACUCUGUCACCCAGGCUGGAGUGCAGUGGUGCCAUCUCUUCCUCCUGGUUCAAGCCAUUCUCCUGCCUCAGCCUCCUGAGUAACUGGGAUUACAGGUGCACACCACCAUGCCAGGCUAAUUUUUGUAUUUUUGAUAGAGACAGGGUUUCACCAUGUUGGCCAGGCUGGUCUCGAACUCCUGACCUAGUGAUCUGCCCGCCUCAGCCUCCCAAAGUGCUGGGAUUACAGGUGUGAACCACCGUGCUGGCCCCUACUAAAGCAUCUUAACUGUUGUGUAUAUACUGCUUAGAAUGAACAUAUUCUUUGGAGCAGGAGUAUGGGGAAUGUCUUGCAGCUUCCUAAGCCAUGAAGACAGACACCAUUCCUUCCUCAGACUGUGCUAUCCACCAGCCUCUUCUCCUUGAUGAACAGGGACACAACGCUAGAAGAAAAAGGGAGUUCUGCCACAGACCUGCUGUUUGUCUAUCCUUCCGAGAUUGGCUCCAGGUGUGUGUGGAUGCAUUUUGGCUCCAUGGUAAAUGGGUGUUGGAGGGAGAGGGUAGUGUGUUUAGAUUCCUGCUCUGCCACCUGUGAGUGGUGAGGCUUUGGGAAAGUACCUGACCUUGUAGAGAUUCUGCUUUCUUACUUGUAAAAUACAUUCUUCAUAGGGAUGCUGUGAGAACAAAUGACAGGUACCAUAAGGAUUCAGGGGUUGCCUAUUUCCUUCUUAGCACAGUCUAGUGAUUUUGUCUGUAUGCUUACUUUUCAUUCUCGGCCUCAUCUAUUAGAUGAUAAGCUUGAGAAGAGCUGGGUCUUAUGCUCAUUGUUGUUCCCUGGAGCCUAGUGCAGUGCCUGUCACAGAAUGAAUGAAUGAAUGAAUGAAUGAAUGAGUGUGCAUUGAGUAACGUACUGUGAUAGUACAUUAGUUUGAGAUUCCAGCCUCUGAAUUUUAUCUCAUCUGAGUUCUGUUCUCCCUGAACUUGAGUAAAUCACUUUUUCUCUGUCUCUAUUCUAGUUUCCCCAACCUUUAGGUGAAGUAAAUUUAACCUUUUUCUUCUUGAUAGGAGUAUUAUUAGGACCUACUCGCUAACAUGUCCAAAGUACUUAGGGCUUCUCAGAUGAAAGUUUCUAUUGAGCAGAUAUGAUUAACCUCAGGGAGUUCCUUGAUUUUCCCCCAAAUACAGGAUAUAUGGCAAGUGUGGUUUUUGCUUUUUCUGAGGCUAUCAGGAGACUGCAAUAGUGGAUCCCAUCUAGCAGUUGUUUAUUGAUAUAGGAAACUAACUAAUGUUUCUGAAAGGCAUCUUCCUUGAUCUGGUCUCUAUUUUAUGAUGUUUCAAAAGAGCUUACUCACAGCCCUCCAUGCUUCUGUUUGUUGGCAACAGGAGUGCCCUGUUGCUAGGAAGUUCACUUGGGCAUUCACCCUCCACAACGUAGGUGCCAGACCCAAAGGGAGAAAGGAAUGGGGACCACAUGCGGUAAGAAGGUUCUCUGGGGACCGCUUGCCAGUGGGUGGGCACACAGCCACCGGUGCCAUCACUGUGCCUCCUUGCAGCUGCUCAGGGGUUCCUGGAGCUGUGUGACCAUUGUCCUUAUGUGGCAGUCAGUACCCACGGUCGGCUUCCUGCUGUGGCCAUGGCAGCAACAGUAGCCACAGCAUAGAGGAGAGGGGAUGUGGUAAAGGCCGGUGACAUGGCACUUAAACCAGACCUUCAGACAUUGGUAGAACAUGGACAGGUGAGCCUGAGGAAGAGCAGCUUUCUAACCAAUGGCCUGGUGCAAACCAAAGCACAAAGUCGCAAUGAGGAUAGACUGCACCCAGGGCUUUGGUGAUGUGCUGUCACUGGUGACGGCUGAUGACGACCAGAAAGAACUGCUGUCUAAAGUGACAACAAAAACAGAAGACACCCAACCAGAGGGUCUGUGAACGAGGAGGAGGCCGGCAGACGGGGGGCAGGGUGAUUGAGCAGGGGAAUGCUGGCAGAGGGACACAUGGUGAUUAGGAGGGGGAGGCUGUCAGAGGGGGGGCAGAGUGAUUGAGCAGGGGAAUGCUGGCAGAGGGGCACAGGGUGAUUGAGGAGAGGGAGGCUGGUGGGGGGAUGAAGGGUAACUGAGGAGAGGGAGGCCAGCAGAGGGACACGGGGUGAUUGAGGAGAGGGAGGCCAGCAGAGGGACACAGGGUGAUUAGAGAGGGAGUAACCUGGAGUUGGGAAGGCCAGGCACACCAGAUGGACAAUUAGACCUGGAAUAAGCUGGCGGCAGUAGAAGAGGAAAGAAAAGGAUGACAUACUUUGAAGACCAUUGCAAACAUGACGUAACUUGUUCCUUGAGUAGACCUGCAGUGUGAAGCCAUGAGCUGAAUUACUAAUACAACAUGACAUUUGGGAGCCAGCUUGUAGGUGAGAUGCCCUCCUCCAUCCACCUCUCAUUCCUUUAAAAAGGAUUAGCUGAAGGCUUCCCUGAGGCUCUGGCCAGUGAUGUUCAUGACUUGAAGGUGGGAGCCAUCGCGAGGGAAGGCUGUCCUCCGUUACUACUCAUCUGGCAGAAACUUUACAGACAACACUUUUCCAGAUUUGUCUUCAUUCUUCAUAACAUCUUGGUAUUUUAAUAUAUUUCAGGUUAAUGGAAUUCAAGAACAUAAAUUAAAUUCAAGCAGGGAUAAUACAGAGAAAACACUAUGAUCCCCGUAAGUCAGUCUUUUUAAUUGCCUAAAGUUUUAACCAAGUCCCAGAGCUCUGGCUAAUGAUGAAAGAGAUAACAGAACAAACUCAUCUCUUGUGGAGCAGAUGGAGCUUGUGACUCUAGGACACUCCCGGAGGGAGCCAGGGAUGACCAUCUAUGGAUCUCAAAGUGGCAACAUUUGCAAACCAGGACCCAGGAGCCCAUUUAACAAAUGUCAGGGCAGCCUGAAGAGAGGAAUGGAAGGCAGAAACAUCUGGGAGUGUUUAGAAGUUGGAAACCGAUCAUUUAGAAGAAGACAGAGAAGAAUUCCCUUUACUUCUCAAUAAAUCAUCACCACAUUAUUUAAUA